UGACCAGGGGGUCGGGCUGUUCUGACGGUUACUGAGUCGGAGUGGCCUAGGGGUACAGGGAGUACCUCCGUAAUGGGCCGGGUCAGGAAAGGU
Molecule: regulatory RNA element, 93 nt
Organism: Pseudomonas cremoricolorata
Lineage: Bacteria; Pseudomonadati; Pseudomonadota; Gammaproteobacteria; Pseudomonadales; Pseudomonadaceae
Rfam family: ivy-DE RNA
Source: Rfam